GUCGAACGAGACCUUCGGGUCUAGUGGCGCACGGGUGCGUAACGCGUGGGGAUCUACCAUAGGGUGCGGAAUAACUCAGAGAAAUUUGUGCUAAUACCGCAUAAUGUCUACGGACCAAAGAUUUAUCGCCCUUUGAUGAACCCGCGUAAGAUUAGCUUGUUGGUGGGGUAAAGGCCUACCAAGGCGACGAUCUUUAGCUGGUCUGAGAGGAUGAUCAGCCACACUGGGACUGAGACACGGCCCAGACUCCUACGGGAGGCAGCAGUGGGGAAUAUUGGACAAUGGGCGAAAGCCUGAUCCAGCAAUGCCGCGUGAGUGAUGAAGGCCUUAGGGUUGUAAAGCUCUUUUACCAGGGAUGAUAAUGACAGUACCUGGAGAAUAAGCUCCGGCUAACUCCGUGCCAGCAGCCGCGGUAAUACGGAGGGAGCUAGCGUUGUUCGGAAUUACUGGGCGUAAAGCGCGCGUAGGCGGCUAUUCAAGUCAGAGGUGAAAUCCCGGAGCUCAACUCCGGAACUGCCUUUGAAACUAGAUAGCUAGAAUCUUGGAGAGGUCAGUGGAAUUCCGAGUGUAGAGGUGAAAUUCGUAGAUAUUCGGAAGAACACCAGUGGCGAAUGC
RNAcentral lists this ribosomal RNA (615 nucleotides) under Sphingopyxis sp. UA-AR0413. Its description in RNAcentral is "bacterial SSU rRNA". It matches the Rfam family "Bacterial small subunit ribosomal RNA", at positions 61 to 722 of the family's 1533-position model. Lineage: Bacteria; Pseudomonadati; Pseudomonadota; Alphaproteobacteria; Sphingomonadales; Sphingopyxidaceae. The record is from RNAcentral.